GCUACUGGUGACAGCAGGAGAGCCCAACGUAGUCGUUAUUCGUUAAGGCUGCCACCUGUAACCACUGACUGAAGACAAAAGAGGCUUUGUCCACUCUGUAAAACGUCUCUUGAUUGCUGCUUCAGCGUUGGUACUUAGGAAGAGAGGAUGCUUGUGAUGCUGUCAGGUUUUGGACCGUGUAAAAUGAUUUUAUAUGGAUCUUCUAUCAAAAGGUUAAAAGAGAGUAAACAUCAAGAGAAACAAGCAAAAAGGAGAGGUGUGUGACUCCUAUCAGGGAACUCGGAGCCCAUUUCAAGUUACUGCAUACUCAAGAGAAAGAUAAAUGCAAAGGAACUGUUCAUGUGUUCAGUGUGUAAAAUUCACAAAGAAGGAAAUGGCAUCUAAGUAAGUUUAAUGUACAACAUGUGCAAAUUCAGCCUUGCAAAGAUUGUCAUAACAUUUUCAAGCUCUUGUCCAAAUUCUGCUUGCUUUCCUGUAUAGAUAAUUAUGUUAGGUAAAACCCUUC
RNAcentral lists this long non-coding RNA (505 nucleotides) under Gallus gallus (chicken). Lineage: Eukaryota; Metazoa; Chordata; Aves; Galliformes; Phasianidae. The record is from RNAcentral.